CUGUUUGCUACUAGCUCCAUAUAUGCAUCGAUCCAUGCCUCUCAUCCUCGCCAAUUUGUGCCAAUUUGUGAGAUCGAUGCAUAUAUAUGGUGCAUACACUACCAGAAGA
RNAcentral lists this microRNA precursor (109 nucleotides) under Oryza sativa Indica Group (long-grained rice). Its description in RNAcentral is "mir-172 microRNA precursor". Lineage: Eukaryota; Viridiplantae; Streptophyta; Magnoliopsida; Poales; Poaceae. The record is from RNAcentral.